GUGUCAGCAGCCGCGGUAAGACAGAGGGUGCAAACGUUGUUCGGAAUUACUGGGCGUAAAGCGUGUGUAGGCGGCCGCGCAAGUCGGAUGUGAAAGCCCCAGGCUCAACCUGGGAAGUGCACCCGAUACUGCAUGGCUCGAGUACUGGAGAGGUUGGUGGAAUUCUCGGUGUAGAGGUGAAAUUCGUAGAUAUCGAGAGGAACACCGGUGGCGAAGGCGGCCAACUGGACAGAUACUGACGCUGAGACACGAAAGCGUGGGGAGCAAACAGGAUUAGAUACCCUCGUAGUCC
RNAcentral lists this ribosomal RNA (292 nucleotides) under uncultured bacterium. RNAcentral's name for it is "partial 16S ribosomal RNA". It matches the Rfam family "Bacterial small subunit ribosomal RNA", at positions 505 to 796 of the family's 1533-position model. The record is from RNAcentral.